This is a non-coding RNA of Triticum aestivum (bread wheat), 124 nucleotides long. The record is from Rfam. Lineage: Eukaryota; Viridiplantae; Streptophyta; Magnoliopsida; Poales; Poaceae.
UAACUACUCCCUCCGUCCGGAAAUACUUGUCGAAAAAAUGAUAAAAAUGGAUGUAUCUAGAACUAAAAUCCAUCUAGAUACAUUCAUUUCUCCGACAAGUAUUUCCGGACGGAGGGAGUACUAG